AUGGGGAACUAUCUGACGAGUAGAAUAACAGCAGAGAAGGAUGCCCAUGUCAAGCAGACAUCGAAGAAUCGCAAUGGAAGGCCUGGCCUUAAAUUUCAUGACCUUCCAGAGGAUGUACUAUGCACAAUUUUAUCCAAAUUACCUGCAAAAGAGGCUGUUCGGACCAGUGUUUUGUCGAGUGACUGGAGAUGUACAUGGACAGCUUGCCCCAGACUAAGCUUUGGUGCCGACGAUAUUAGUAAGAAUGUGAAGGGGAAACCUCAGCGCACCCAGAUGUUCAUCGACCAUGUUAAUGCGGUUUUGCGCAAGCACAGCGGCAGGGCUGUUGACCAACUUGAGAUUAAAUUUAUAUUCGAGAGCAAGCUUGUUGAUUACCUCAAUAAUUGGAUUAGAUUUGCUAUGUCAGUCCACACAAAGAGUCUAGCUUUUGAUUUGGCGCCACCUAACAAUUUCCCGGAAUAUGGGGAUCAUUACAGAUUCCCAUUUGAACAAUUUACAGACAACAAAAGUGUAUCCUGCCUAGCCUGUCUUCAACUCAGCUUUGUACGUUUCGAACCACCUCCUACCAGUUUCAUAGGUUUCCCAAACCUAAGAAAGCUUCAUCUUCAUGUAGUCAAGACCACUAGGCAGGAUCUCGAGAGUGUCUUGUGCAGUUGCGUUAAUCUUGAGUGGCUGAGCUUACUCAGAUGCCAUCUCAAGGAUGAAAUGAAGGUGGUUCGGCGGCCAUUAUCCCACCUGCGGUACUUGCAUGUCGUGCACUGCGAUAUAACCAAGAUAGAGUUCGAUGCUCCAAAUCUCUCCACCUUUGUUUAUGAUGGACCAUACAGGCCUAUUACCCUCCAUCAUGCUACUAAACUGGAAAAUGUAAGAUUUUGGUUCCGCGGUGCAGUUUUUCAGCAUGCUACCGCUUCACUCCUCAAUGGGCUACCAGAUGUACAAAACCUGACAUUGCAACUUGGAACGCAACGGCUAGAGAGCCGGUGGACGUUAAAUAGCCCUCGGGUGUUUUCUCACCUCAGGCAUGCGCAGAUACUUUUGAUUAUACAUCAUGAAGAUAGUGACAAAAUCCUCUACUUGGUUUCUUUUCUGAGGGUUGCUCCAUUCAUUGAGAGGUUGGAAGUACAUUUUCAUGGCCUUUAUACUUUGUGGUUUGCAACCGAUGGACCUUCGAGACAAGAAAUACCGCCGUGUGAAGAUAAAUAUGUGAAUCUGAAGGACAUGCGUGUUACAGGAUUCAAAGGGGCAAGAGGCCAAGCUGAAUUCCUCAUGCAUGCCGUUGAAAAUGCUCCUGCAAUAGAGGCCGUAACUGUAGAUACAGCUCAAAGGCUAACUGAUGCUUGGGAUCCAGAGGAACCAACCCCUAGACUAGAUAGUGCCGCUCUUGAUAUGGUUAGAGGCCCUCUCCUUAAGAGACUCCCACCGAAUGCAAAACUUUCACUUAUUUAA
Molecule: ribosomal RNA, 1446 nt
Filed under: Triticum aestivum (bread wheat)
Lineage: Eukaryota; Viridiplantae; Streptophyta; Magnoliopsida; Poales; Poaceae
Description: partial small subunit ribosomal RNA
Source: RNAcentral